UUCGGUUGAUCCUGCCAGUAGUUAUAUGCUUGUCUCAAAGAUUAAGCCAUGCAUGUCUAAGUACACACGAAUUAAAAGUGAAACCGCAAAAGGCUCAUUAUAUCAGUUAUGGUUCCUUAGAUCGUUAACAUUACUUGGAUAACUGUGGUAAUUCUAGAGCUAAUACAUGCAAUUAAAACAUGAACCUUAUGGGACAUGUGCUUUUAUUAGGCUAAAAACCAAGCGAUCGCAAGAUCGUUAUAUUGGUUGAACUCUAGAUAACAUGCAGAUCGUAUGGUCUUGUACCGACGACAGAUCUUUCAAAUGUCUGCCCUAUCAACUUUGAUGGUAGUAUCUAGGACUACCAUGGUUGCAACGGUAACGGGGAAUCAGGGUUCGAUUCCGGAGAGGGAGCCUGAGAAACGGCUACCACAUCUAAGGAAGGCAGCAGGCGCGUAAAUUACCCACUCCCAGCUCGGGAGGUAGUGACGAAAAAUAACAAUACAGGACUCAUAUCCGAGGCCCUGUAAUUGGAAUGAGUACACUUUAAAUCCUUUAACAAGGACAAUUGGAGGGCAAGUCUGGUGCCAGCAGCCGCGGUAAUUCCAGCUCCAAUAGCGUAUAUUAAAGUUGUUGCGGUUAAAACGUUCGUAGUUGAACUUGUGCUUCAUACGGGUAGUACAACUUACAAUUGUGGUUAGUACUAUACCUUUAUGUAUGUAAGCGUAUUACCGGUGGAGUUCUUAUAUGUGAUUAAAUACUUGUAUUUUUUCAUAUGUUCCUCCUAUUUAAAAACCUGCAUUAGUGCUCUUAAACGAGUGUUAUUGUGGCCGGUACUAUUACUUUGAACAAAUUAGAGUGCUUAAAGCAGGCUUCAAAAUGCCUGAAUAUUCUGUGCAUGGGAUAAUGAAAUAAGACCUCUGUUCUGCUUUCAUUGGUUUUCAGAUCAAGAGUAAUGAUUAAUAGAAGCAGUUUGGGGGCAUUAGUAUUACGACGCGAGAGGUGAAAUUCUUGGACCGUCGUAAGACUAACUUAAGCGAAAGCAUUUGCCAAAGAUGUUUUCAUUAAUCAAGAACGAAAGUUAAGAGGUUCGAAGGCGAUCAGAUACCGCCCUAGUUCUAACCAUAAACGAUGCCAGCUAGCAAUUGGGUGUAGCUACUUUUAUGGCUCUCUCAGUCGCUUCCCGGGAAACCAAAGCUUUUGGGCUCCGGGGGAAGUAUGGUUGCAAAGCUGAAACUUAAAGGAAUUGACGGAAGGGCACCACCAGGAGUGGAGCCUGCGGCUUAAUUUGACUCAACACGGGAAAACUUACCAGGUCCGAACAUAAGUGUGUAAGACAGAUUGAUAGCUCUUUCUCGAAUCUAUGGGUGGUGGUGCAUGGCCGUUCUUAGUUCGUGGAGUGAUUUGUCUGGUUAAUUCCGAUAACGAACGAGACUCAAAUAUAUUAAAUAGAUAUCUUCAGGAUUAUGGUGCUGAAGCUUAUGUAGCCUUCAUUCAUGUUGGCAGUAAAAUGCUUAUUGUGUUUGAAUGUGUUUAUGUAAGUGGAGCCGUACCUGUUGGUUUGUCCCAUUAUAAGGACACUAGCUUCUUAAAUGGACAAAUUGCGUCUAGCAAUAAUGAGAUUGAGCAAUAACAGGUCUGUGAUGCCCUUAGAUGUCCUGGGCUGCACGCGGCGCUACAAUGAAAGUAUCAACGUGUAUUUCCUAGACCGAGAGGUCCGGGUAAACCGCUGAACCACUUUCAUGCUUGGGAUUGUGAACUGAAACUGUUCACAUGAACUUGGAAUUCCCAGUAAGUGUGAGUCAUUAACUCGCAUUGAUUACGUCCCUGCCCUUUGUACACACCGCCCGUCGCUACUACCGAUUGAAUUAUUUAGUGAGGUCUCCGGACGUGAUCACUGUGACGCCUUGCGUGUUACGGUUGUUUCGCAAAAGUUGACCGAACUUGAUUAUUUAGAGGAAGUAAAAGUCGUAACAAGGUUCCGUAGGUGAACCUGCGGAAG
This 1981-nucleotide ribosomal RNA is filed under the name Drosophila melanogaster (fruit fly). RNAcentral describes it as "SSU rRNA". It matches the Rfam family "Eukaryotic small subunit ribosomal RNA". The record is from RNAcentral. Lineage: Eukaryota; Metazoa; Arthropoda; Insecta; Diptera; Drosophilidae.